Molecule: unclassified non-coding RNA, 24 nt
Filed under: Mus musculus (house mouse)
Lineage: Eukaryota; Metazoa; Chordata; Mammalia; Rodentia; Muridae
Description: oocyte_clustered_small_RNA1474
Source: RNAcentral
UACAAUCCUUGCUGCCCAGUGGAA